ACUGCAGAGGAAAAUGUAAAAAUGGCAAUUAGUUGUUAGAGGAAUGCUCGUCUACUUGUUGGCUACCAUCGAGGUGUCCUUGAGCAAGGCAUUGGUCCCGCCAUCAUAGCUCAAGUGGCGUGACACUCUGCACACCUCUUUCACAAUGAAUCCCUCCUUGCAAGCCUGCAUGCUUGAUCUGUGUGACGUGUACAACACAAAGUGGAGAGGGCAACUGCGAUGUCACAACCCUCCUGCAGCCAAAGAAUGCCCCGGAGGGUCACAGCGAUGAUGACCAUGUCUUCUCUGUCAACUGUCCAGUCUGAAAGCCGGAAGGAUGCAGCACCACUGUGACGGCCCGCACAAAUAGGAAGAAGGGCUUCCACAAAUAGGUUUCUCCCACAGAGACAAAUAAUUGGCGUGGUAUCUUGGGGCACAAGCGCGAGGAGCCGCAUGGAUUUUGAUGCCAAUCCUGGAGGAAGAGAAGUUACACAUGUCAGCGGGCAUGCGCUUCAAACAGCUCGUGUCUAGGCAAACGCAUUUAAUUAGUGCUGAGCUCACAAUGAGUUGUCACACUGUCAAUAAGUCCCAUUAUGAUGACGGAAUAGUUCCCUUCUAAAUGAAUUAACUUUGUCUUCUUGACAUACAUGAACAUCUUAACCUUUAGUUGAUAGAUUCUAUUCGAUAUCCUCAAAGAAAUAUAACAGCAGAAGAAUAUUAUUCAAUGAUGAAGAAAAUCUACUAAAGUAGUUUGUGAAUAUAUACAUUCUAUAUGAUGAUUGUGCAUGGAUUCCAAGAUUUUACCAAAGUAAACAUCUGUUACAACUUUGUGGAACGUAGUACAAGUACAAAAGUGUGAUUAAUUGCAUACAAGUGUGCGAUUAAUUAGAUUUUAAACAUGUAAUCGCUUGACGGCAUACUUGUAGAAGUAAACAUUUGUGCUAGUGCACAUACCCUCUCAUACGGUGAAUUCUGUUUCAGUAGGUUUUUCCUGACAUUUUUGUAGUUGCACCUUACGACAUAAUCCAUUGUCUCUCGAGAGCUUCCACAGUAUCGGAGGAAUCUCAUCAUUCAAGGGUAUUAAAUCAGAAGAAGGAUCCAAAGAAA
This is a long non-coding RNA of Hippocampus comes (tiger tail seahorse), 1086 nucleotides long. RefSeq lists it as uncharacterized. The transcript is spliced from 2 exons. NCBI's taxonomy places the organism in Eukaryota, Metazoa, Chordata, Actinopteri, Syngnathiformes, Syngnathidae. The record is from RefSeq and is a predicted model, not a curated record.